GAUGAACGCUGGCGGCGUGCCUAAUACAUGCAAGUAGAACGCUGAAGGAGGAGCUUGCUCUUCUGGAUGAGUUGCGAACGGGUGAGUAACGCGUAGGUAACCUGCCUGGUAGCGGGGGAUAACUAUUGGAAACGAUAGCUAAUACCGCAUGACAACAGUUAUUGCAUGAUAACUGUUUAAAAGGGGCAACUGCUCCACUACCAGAUGGACCUGCGUUGUAUUAGCUAGUUGGUGAGGUAACGGCUCACCAAGGCGACGAUACAUAGCCGACCUGAGAGGGUGGUCGGCCACACUGGGACUGGGACACGGCCCAGACUCCUACGGGAGGGAGCAGUAGGGAAUCCUCGGCAAUGGACGGAAGGCUGGACGAGCAAAGCCGCGUGAGUGAAGAAGGGUUUCGGAUCGUAAAGAUCUGUUGUAAGAGAAGAACGAGUGUGAGAGUGGAAAGUUCACACUGUGACGGUAUCUUACCAGAAAGGGACGGCUAACUACGUG
RNAcentral lists this ribosomal RNA (495 nucleotides) under uncultured bacterium. RNAcentral describes it as "partial 16S ribosomal RNA". It matches the Rfam family "Bacterial small subunit ribosomal RNA", at positions 28 to 507 of the family's 1533-position model. The record is from RNAcentral.